RNAcentral lists this transfer RNA (77 nucleotides) under Caldifarciminota bacterium SM23_60. RNAcentral describes it as "tRNA-Ile". It matches the Rfam family "tRNA". Rfam says of the family: Transfer RNA (tRNA) molecules are approximately 80 nucleotides in length. RNAcentral also lists the same sequence under 5 other names. Lineage: Bacteria; Pseudomonadati; Caldifarciminota. The record is from RNAcentral.
GGGCCUAUAGCUCAGUUGGUUAGAGCGCACGCCUGAUAAGCGUGAGGUGAGUGGUUCGAUUCCACUUAGGCCCACCA